UACGUAGGGCGCAAGCGUUGUCCGGAAUUAUUGGGCGUAAAGAGCUCGUAGGCGGCUUGUCACGUCGGGUGUGAAAUCCCGAGGCUCAACCUCGGGUCUGCAGUCGAUACGGGCAAACUAGAGUAUUGCAGGGGAGACUGGAAUUCCUGGUGUAGCGGUGAAAUGCGCAGAUAUCAGGAGGAACACCGGUGGCGAAGGCGGGUCUCUGGGCAAUAACUGACGCUGAGGAGCGAAAGCGUGGGGAGCGAACAGG
Molecule: ribosomal RNA, 253 nt
Filed under: uncultured bacterium
Lineage: Bacteria
Description: partial 16S ribosomal RNA
Rfam family: Bacterial small subunit ribosomal RNA
Source: RNAcentral